AUUGAACGCUGGCUGCAGGCCUAACACAUGCAAGUCGAACGAGUGGCGGACGGGUGAGUAAUGUCUGGGAAACUGCCUGAUGGAGGGGGAUAACUACUGGAAACGGUAGCUAAUACCGCAUACCAUCAGAUGUGCCCCGAUGGGCUUAGCUUGUUGGUGGGGUAACGGCUCACCAACUCGACGAUCCCUAGCUGGUCUGAGAGGAUGACCAGCCACACUGGAACUAGGACACGGUCCAAACUCCUACGGAGGGCGGAAGUGGGGAGUAUUGCACAAUGGGCGCAAGCCUGCUGCAUCCAUACCGCGUGUAUGAAGAAGGCCUUCAGGUUGUAAAGUACUUUCAGCGGGGAGGCGUUACCCGCAGAAGAAGCACCGGCUGACUCCGUGCCAGCAGCCGCGGUAAUAA
RNAcentral lists this ribosomal RNA (406 nucleotides) under uncultured bacterium. RNAcentral describes it as "partial 16S ribosomal RNA". It matches the Rfam family "Bacterial small subunit ribosomal RNA", at positions 30 to 526 of the family's 1533-position model. The record is from RNAcentral.